UACGGGGGGGGCAAGCGUUGUUCGGAAUUACUGGGCGUAAAGGGCGCGUAGGCGGCCCGCUAAGUCGGACGUGAAAUCCCCAGGCUUAACCUGGGAACUGCGUCCGAUACUGGUGGGCUUGAAUCCGGGAGAGGGAUGUGGAAUUCCAGGUGUAGCGGUGAAAUGCGUAGAUAUCGGAAGGAACACCAGUGGCGAAAGCGGCUUCCUGGUCCAGCACAGACGUUCAGGCACGAAAGCGUGGGGAGCAAACAGG
RNAcentral lists this ribosomal RNA (253 nucleotides) under uncultured bacterium. RNAcentral's name for it is "partial 16S ribosomal RNA". It matches the Rfam family "Bacterial small subunit ribosomal RNA", at positions 524 to 776 of the family's 1533-position model. The record is from RNAcentral.